This 74-nucleotide transfer RNA is filed under the name Chloropicon sieburthii. RNAcentral's name for it is "tRNA-Ile". It matches the Rfam family "tRNA". Rfam says of the family: Transfer RNA (tRNA) molecules are approximately 80 nucleotides in length. Their secondary structure includes four short double-helical elements and three loops (D, anti-codon, and T loops). The record is from RNAcentral. Lineage: Eukaryota; Viridiplantae; Chlorophyta; Chloropicophyceae; Chloropicales; Chloropicaceae. RNAcentral also lists the same sequence under 1 other name.
GGGCUAUUAGCUCAGUUGGUUAGAGUACGCCCCUGAUAAGGGCGGGGUCAGGUGUUCAAAUCUCCUAUAGCCCA